GACGAACCGUGCGAACGUUGUUCGGAAUCACUGGGCUUAAAGGGCGCGUAGGCGGGACUGAAAGUCAGGGGUGAAAGCCCCCAGCUCAACUGGGGAAGUGCCUCUGAUACUUCAGUCCUCGAGGGAGGUAGGGGCGUGCGGAACUUCCGGUGGAGCGGUGAAAUGCGUAGAGAUCGGGAGGAACACCAGUGGCGAAGGCGGCCUUCUGGACCAGUACUGACGCUCAUGCACGAAAGCGUGGGGAGCAAACAGG
Molecule: ribosomal RNA, 253 nt
Filed under: uncultured bacterium
Lineage: Bacteria
Description: partial 16S ribosomal RNA
Rfam family: Bacterial small subunit ribosomal RNA
Source: RNAcentral